UGUUGCACAGGAGACAGCCA
This 20-nucleotide unclassified non-coding RNA is filed under the name Mus musculus (house mouse). RNAcentral's name for it is "oocyte_clustered_small_RNA10017". Lineage: Eukaryota; Metazoa; Chordata; Mammalia; Rodentia; Muridae. The record is from RNAcentral.